CGCUAGCUACAGGCUUAACACAUGCAAGUCGAGGGGCAUCAGGAAGAAAGCUUGCUUUCUUUGCUGGCGACCGGCGCACGGGUGAGUAACACGUAUCCAACCUGCCCUUUACUCGGGGAUAGCCUUUCGAAAGAAAGAUUAAUACCCGAUGGCAUAAUGAUUCCGCAUGGUUUCAUUAUUAAAGGAUUCCGGUAAAGGAUGGGGAUGCGUUCCAUUAGGUUGUUGGUGAGGUAACGGCUCACCAAGCCUUCGAUGGAUAGGGGUUCUGAGAGGAAGGUCCCCCACAUUGGAACUGAGACACGGUCCAAACUCCUACGGGAGGCAGCAGUGAGGAAUAUUGGUCAAUGGGCGCUAGCCUGAACCAGCCAAGUAGCGUGAAGGAUGAAGGCUCUAUGGGUCGUAAACUUCUUUUAUAUAAGAAUAAAGUGCAGUAUGUAUACUGUUUUGUAUGUAUUAUAUGAAUAAGGAUCGGCUAACUCCGUGCCAGCAGCCGCGGUAAUACGGAGGAUCCGAGCGUUAUCCGGAUUUAUUGGGUUUAAAGGGAGCGUAGGUGGACUGGUAAGUCAGUUGUGAAAGUUUGCGGCUCAACCGUAAAAUUGCAGUUGAUACUGUCAGUCUUGAGUACAGUAGAGGUGGGCGGAAUUCGUGGUGUAGCGGUGAAAUGCUUAGAUAUCACGAAGAACUCCGAUUGCGAAGGCAGCUCACUGGACUGCAACUGACACUGAUGCUCGAAAGUGUGGGUAUCAAACAGGAUUAGAUACCCUGGUAGUCCACACAGUAAACGAUGAAUACUCGCUGUUUGCGAUAUACAGUAAGCGGCCAAGCGAAAGCAUUAAGUAUUCCACCUGGGGAGUACGCCGGCAACGGUGAAACUCAAAGGAAUUGACGGGGGCCCGCACAAGCGGAGGAACAUGUGGUUUAAUUCGAUGAUACGCGAGGAACCUUACCCGGGCUUAAAUUGCAGUGGAAUGAUGUGGAAACAUGUCAGUGAGCAAUCACCGCUGUGAAGGUGCUGCAUGGUUGUCGUCAGCUCGUGCCGUGAGGUGUCGGCUUAAGUGCCAUAACGAGCGCAACCCUUAUCUUUAGUUACUAACAGGUUAUGCUGAGGACUCUAGAGAGACUGCCGUCGUAAGAUGUGAGGAAGGUGGGGAUGACGUCAAAUCAGCACGGCCCUUACGUCCGGGGCUACACACGUGUUACAAUGGGGGGUACAGAAGGCAGCUAGCGGGUGACCGUAUGCUAAUCCCAAAAGCCUCUCUCAGUUCGGAUCGAAGUCUGCAACCCGACUUCGUGAAGCUGGAUUCGCUAGUAAUCGCGCAUCAGCCACGGCGCGGUGAAUACGUUCCCGGGCCUUGUACACACCGCCCGUCAAGCCAUGGGAGCCGGGGGUACCUGAAGUACGUAACCGCAAGGAUCGUCCUAGGGUAAAACUGGUGACUGGG
This 1442-nucleotide ribosomal RNA is filed under the name uncultured organism. RNAcentral's name for it is "SSU rRNA". It matches the Rfam family "Bacterial small subunit ribosomal RNA". The record is from RNAcentral.